UACGUAGGGUCCGAGCGUUGUCCGGAAUUAUUGGGCGUAAAGAGCUCGUAGGCGGUCUGUUGCGUCGGCUGUGAAAACCCGGGGCUCAACUCCGGGCCUGCAGUCGAUACGGGCAGACUAGAGUUCGGUAGGGGAGACUGGAAUUCCCGGUGUAGCGGUGAAAUGCGCAGAUAUCAGGAGGAACACCAGUGGCGAAGGCGGCGACCUGGACAGAUAUUGACGCUGAGGUGCGAAAGCGUGGGGAGCAAACAGG
This 253-nucleotide ribosomal RNA is filed under the name uncultured bacterium. Its description in RNAcentral is "partial 16S ribosomal RNA". It matches the Rfam family "Bacterial small subunit ribosomal RNA", at positions 524 to 776 of the family's 1533-position model. The record is from RNAcentral.